GAAAGUAAUGAAGGGCGCAUGGCGGAUGCCUUGGCUCACGGAGGCGAUGAAGGACGUGUCAAGCUGCGAUAAGCCCCGGGUAGAUGCAAGCAAUCUCUGAUCCGGGGAUUUCCGAAUGGGACAACCCAGCACUCUGAAGGAGUGCUAUCCUGAUUUUUGUUCAGGAGGCUAACGCAGGGAACUGAAACAUCUUAGUACCUGCAGGAAAAGAAAAUAAGUUAAUGAUUCCCCCAGUAGUGGCGAGCGAACGGGGAGUAGCCCAAACCCGCUGCGUUUCAGUGCGCGGCGGGGGUUGUAGGACCACGCUGUCGUACCCCGGGUGUGAGGAGAAUGUUCUGGAAAGUUCAACCGUAGCGGGUGACAGUCCCGUAUCCGAAGCAUGAGGGGGCGUAGUGGUAUCCUGAGUAGCGCGGAGCACGAGUAAUUCUGCGUGAAUCUGCCGGGCCCAUCCGGCAAGGCUAAAUACUCCCGUGAGACCGAUAGUGUACCAGUACCGUGAGGGAAAGGUGAAAAGCACUCCGAUUAGGAGAGUGAAACAGUUCCUGAAACCAUGCGCCUACAAGCGGUCGGAGCAUAUUGUUGUAUGUGACGGCGUGCCUUUUGCAUAAUGAACCUACGAGUUACCAUGCCCAGCGAGGUUAAGGGGCUCAGCCCCGUAUCCGCAGUGAAAGCGAGCCUGAAGAGGGCGUUCAGUUGGGUGGGGUAGACGCGAAACCAAGUGAUCUACACUUGACCAGGUUGAAGUUCCGGUAACACGGAAUGGAGGACCGCACGGAUAAGCGUUGAAAAGCUUCCCGAUGAGUUGAGUGUAGGAGUGAAAGGCCAAUCAAACUUGGAGAUAGCUCGUACUCCCCGAAAGGCAUUUAGGUGCCGCGUGCGAUGUUCUCCGUGAGAGGUAGAGCGACCGAUAGGUCAAGAGGGCUUCACCGCCUGUCGCGACCUGACGAACUCCGAAUGCUCACGGACCGUAGUCGUGCAGUAAGGGGGCGGGUGCUAAGGUCCGUCCCCGAGAGGAGAAGAAUCCUGACCGUCGUCUAAGGUCCCGAAAUUCUGUCUAAGUUAGUCUAACGAAGUCUGGUCCCCGUGACAGCUAGGAUGUUGGCUUGGAAGCAGCCAUUCAUUCAAAGAGUGCGUAACAGCUCACUGGUCGAGGGUCCGGGCGUGGAUAAUAAUCGGGUAUGAAGUCAGAUACCGAAGGCGCGGGAUAGCAUUGUAUAUAUAAAGUAUCGGUAGGGGAGCAUUCCAUGUGCGCAGAAUGGUGAUGGUGACAGAUCCUGGAGCGCAUGGAAAAGCAAAUGUAGGUAUGAGUAACGAUAAAGGGGGUGAGAUUCCCCCUCGCCGCAAGACCAAGGUUUCCCGGGCGAUGCCAGUCAGCCCGGGGUCAGUCGGGUCCUAAGUCCCAGCCGAACGGCGAAGGCGAUGGCAUACACGGUGAACAUUCCGUGACUUGCCCAUUCAGCGACGCGGAGACGGAGCAGUGACACUGUCGCGCCCUUACGGACAUGGGCGUUGAAGGCUUUAGGCUUUGAUGGGUGCAGGCAAAUCCACACCCAGAGCUGAUGGCCGACAGUACGGUCCUCCCCCCGGGGCGGACCGACAGCACAGGUAACCAUACUUCCAAGAAAAUCCGCUAAGCUCAAUGUUUGGGCAACCCGUACCGCAAACGGACACACGUAGUCGGGUAGAACAUACUGAGGCGUUGAGAGAUUCAUGGUUAAGGAACUAGGCAAACUGACCCCGUAACUUCGGGAUAAGGGGUCCUCAUAGUAAUAUGAGGCGCAGAGAAUAGGUCCAGGCAACUGUUUAACAAAAACACAGGGCUGUGCAAACUCGAAAGAUGAUGUAUACAGCCUGACACCUGCCCGGUGCCGGAAGGUUAAGAGGAGGGCUCAGACUUCGGUCGAAGGCCUGAAUUGAAGCCCCGGUAAACGGCGGCCGUAACUAUAACGGUCCUAAGGUAGCGAAAUUCCUUGUCGGGU
This 1979-nucleotide ribosomal RNA is filed under the name human metagenome. RNAcentral's name for it is "bacterial LSU rRNA". It matches the Rfam family "Bacterial large subunit ribosomal RNA", at positions 1 to 1977 of the family's 2925-position model. The record is from RNAcentral.